RNAcentral lists this transfer RNA (73 nucleotides) under Parachlamydiaceae bacterium. Its description in RNAcentral is "tRNA-Arg". It matches the Rfam family "tRNA". From Rfam's summary of the family: Transfer RNA (tRNA) molecules are approximately 80 nucleotides in length. Their secondary structure includes four short double-helical elements and three loops (D, anti-codon, and T loops). Further hydrogen bonds mediate the characteristic L-shaped molecular structure. tRNAs have two regions of fundamental functional importance: the anti-codon, which is responsible for specific mRNA codon recognition, and the 3' end, to which the tRNAs corresponding amino acid is attached (by aminoacyl-tRNA synthetases). tRNAs cope with the degeneracy of the genetic code in two manners: having more than one tRNA (with a specific anti-codon) for a particular amino acid; and 'wobble' base-pairing, i.e. permitting non-standard base-pairing at the 3rd anti-codon position. The record is from RNAcentral. Lineage: Bacteria; Pseudomonadati; Chlamydiota; Chlamydiia; Parachlamydiales; Parachlamydiaceae.
GGACUGAUAGCUCAGUGGAUAGAGCACCCGCCUUCUAAGCGGGCGGUCGAAGGUUCGAGUCCUUCUCAGUCCG